CACCUAAAAAGAAAAAUACAUGACUACAACAAAUAACAAAAUGAUUUUGUUUGAAAAUACCUUAUGCCCAAUGAAACCAUCAUUGAUGAAUAUGCUUUAUGUCUAAUAGUUUCUUUGGCUUAUAUGCCUUAUCAUGAUAAAUAUUUUGAAAAGUUUGUAUCAUACUUGAUGAUUAUUAUACAUGAUGAUUUAUUGGUCUUGAAGUUAUUCAAUUUUGAUUAAAUGAAAUCAUGUUUGACUUGAAGUAAUGAGUUGAAAUCAAUAUUUUUUGGAAUUAUGUGUUGCACUUUUUUAUCUUGAUGAUUUUUGAUUUUUUUGUUUUAAAACGAUUAUGCAUGGAUUUGAAAGAAAAGGACAUGCAUGCAUGGAAUCAAUCAAUAAGUUGAAACAAAAGGAGGAAAGAUUUUUUAUUGAAAAUUUUCUUUUUCUCUAUCUUAUUGAUUUAUACCUAAGAGACCAAUAAAAUUAUUUAUGCCAUUUUGAAUCUCUUGAAAGAAAUGUUGAGAUUUUGAUGAUUUAGACGAUUUGAAUUU
Molecule: long non-coding RNA, 533 nt
Filed under: Musa acuminata (dwarf banana)
Lineage: Eukaryota; Viridiplantae; Streptophyta; Magnoliopsida; Zingiberales; Musaceae
Description: long non-coding RNA (MACU_LNC011541)
Source: RNAcentral